GAUGAACGCUGGCGGCGUGCCUAAUACAUGCAAGUCGAGCGAACAGACGAGGAGCUUGCUCCUCUGACGUUAGCGGCGGACGGGUGAGUAACACGUGGAUAACCUCCCUAUAAGACUGGGAUAACUUCGGGAAACCGGAGCUAAUACCGGAUAAUAUAUUGAACCGCAUGGUUCAAUAGUGAAAGACGGUUUUGCUUUCACUUAUAGAUGGAUCCGCGCCGCAUUAGCUAGUUGGUAAGGUAACGGCUUACCAAGGCAACGAUGCGUAGCCGACCUGAGAGGGGGAUCGGCCACACUGGAACUGAGACACGGUCCAGACUCCUACGGGAGGCAGCAGUAGGGAAUCGUACGCAAUGGGCGAAAGCCUGACGGAGCAACGACGCGUGAGUGAUGAAGGUCUUCGGAUCGUAAAAAUCUGUUAUUAGGGAAGAACAAAUGUGUAAGUAACUAUGCACGUCUUGACGGUACCUAAUCAGAAAGCCACGGCUAACUACGUG
Molecule: ribosomal RNA, 497 nt
Filed under: uncultured bacterium
Lineage: Bacteria
Description: partial 16S ribosomal RNA
Rfam family: Bacterial small subunit ribosomal RNA
Source: RNAcentral